CUGACAUGUGUGCGAGUCAAC
RNAcentral lists this small RNA (21 nucleotides) under Arabidopsis thaliana (thale cress). RNAcentral's name for it is "snRNA_16552". The record is from RNAcentral. Lineage: Eukaryota; Viridiplantae; Streptophyta; Magnoliopsida; Brassicales; Brassicaceae.